AAUACAAAUCAAAGCUUCCAAUUAAACAUUUUGUUCAUAAAAGUGCACUUAGUCUUCUAUAGUAUUGGGAAUGGUUAAUGGCUCCCCUUUGCCUUCCCACCCAACCAUUUCUUUUUCUUUUUUUUGAAAUAAAUGUUAUUGAUUU
Molecule: non-coding RNA, 145 nt
Organism: Notechis scutatus (mainland tiger snake)
Lineage: Eukaryota; Metazoa; Chordata; Lepidosauria; Squamata; Elapidae
Source: RefSeq, a predicted model, not a curated record